This is a non-coding RNA of Triticum urartu, 125 nucleotides long. NCBI's taxonomy places the organism in Eukaryota, Viridiplantae, Streptophyta, Magnoliopsida, Poales, Poaceae. The record is from Rfam.
AAUGUACUCCCUCCGUCCGGAAUUACUUGUCGGAUGAAUGGAUGUAUCUAGAUGUAUUUUAGUUCUAGAUACAUCCAUUUUUAUUCAUUUUUAAGAUAAGUAAUUCCGAACGAAGGGAGUACGUC